CACAGGUUCCUGCUUCUGUCUCUGCUGGUCCUGCAGCUGUGGGAAGCUGGUGAGGCCUCAGCACUUCAGGCACUCACGACCAAAGACUUCGAAAUCCCCGCACAGGACACAGAUGAGGCCUGGGACAAGCAUGCCCCGGAACCUCUGGGGAAGGACCAUCCACUCUGGGGCCUAAUGCACUUGGGGCUGCUCCCAGCAAUGAAGUUCCUGGCCGAGACCCAGCAGCAAGGU
Long non-coding RNA from Suncus etruscus (white-toothed pygmy shrew), 231 nucleotides. RefSeq lists it as uncharacterized. The transcript is spliced from 3 exons. Lineage: Eukaryota; Metazoa; Chordata; Mammalia; Eulipotyphla; Soricidae. The record is from RefSeq and is a predicted model, not a curated record.